AUUGAACGCUGGCGGCAGGCCUAACACAUGCAAGUCGAGCGGAUGAAGGGAGCUUGCUCCUGGAUUCAGCGGCGGACGGGUGAGUAAUGCCUAGGAAUCUGCCUGGUAGUGGGGGAUAACGUCCGGAAACGGGCGCUAAUACCGCAUACAUCCUGAGGGAGAAAGUGGGGGAUCUUCGGACCUCACGCUAUCAGAUGAGCCUAGGUCGGAUUAGCUAGUUGGUGUGGUAAAGGCCUACCAAGGCGACGAUCCGUAACUGGUCUGAGAGGAUGAUCAGUCACACUGGAACUGAGACACGGUCCAGACUCCUACGGGAGGCAGCAGUGGGGAAUAUUGGACAAUGGGCGAAAGCCUGAUCCAGCCAUGCCGCGUGUGUGAAGAAGGUCUUCGGAUUGUAAAGCACUUUAAGUUGGGAGGAAGGGCAGUAAGUUAAUACCUUGCUGUUUUGACGUUACCAACAGAAUAAGCACCGGCUAACUUCGUG
Molecule: ribosomal RNA, 484 nt
Filed under: uncultured bacterium
Lineage: Bacteria
Description: partial 16S ribosomal RNA
Rfam family: Bacterial small subunit ribosomal RNA
Source: RNAcentral